Molecule: long non-coding RNA, 806 nt
Filed under: Gallus gallus (chicken)
Lineage: Eukaryota; Metazoa; Chordata; Aves; Galliformes; Phasianidae
Source: RNAcentral
CUUAUAUUCUGAACUGAGGGAUUUAAUGUUUCAUCUGGAACGUUACUGGUUACAGCCGCAUGUCCUUCUGUGAGGGUAUGCAAUGGCUGCAUUACGUGAACUGUCCGAAAAAGCUGAGUGGGAUGUACUGGCUGCGUAGACUGCAUUGUCCUCAAAACUUCUGAAGUCAAGCCAGGUGUCUGCUGCUGUACAACUUCUACGUGCUCCUUAAGCUUAGCAGGCUUUGAAUUUCCUGUUUUUAGAACUGUGGUGGAUCCUCCCUUUGUUCCUGUGUUUGCAGACGCUCUAGAUCUGCUCGACUGGUUUCUACUGGCCACAGGAGUUGAGAGCAAACUUGAAUCUGAUGAUUCAGUGCUAGGACUUGCAUCUUCAUCAUCUAUAUAGACGAGAUCUUUUGGCAUUUCCUUAAACUGAUACACUAGGCGCUGACCUUCUACUUUAGCCAGUAUUCCUCUUUGGUAAUAAUAUCUGAGAGCUCUACCCAUUGUUUCAUAAUUCAUGUCAGGUUUGUUUUUGUGCUUUCCCCACAACCUGGACACGGCCUUGGAAUCUACGAGUUUGAAAAUGCCCUUCUCUCUUUGAGUCCACUUGAUAUACUUAGGACACGUAGCUUUGUCCUGAAGCAGUGCUAGUAAAAACUCCCAGAGAUAAAUUGUGUUUCCCUUCCCAUCUUUGUUUUUCUUUUUCACAGAUAUGUUUGGCGUUGUUGUCGGGGACUCAGGACGAGAGGGUUUUGGCUUCUUCCCCUUUUUCUUCUUUGGUUGUUCAAAUUCCGGAGUCUCUGGUGACUCAGAGUAAGGGUCCGG